Molecule: ribosomal RNA, 393 nt
Filed under: uncultured bacterium
Lineage: Bacteria
Description: partial 16S ribosomal RNA
Rfam family: Bacterial small subunit ribosomal RNA
Source: RNAcentral
AUACGGAGGAUGCAAGCGUUAUCCGGAUUUAUUGGGUUUAAAGGGUGCGUAGGCUGUUUGUCAAGUCAGGGGUGAAAUACCUGAGCCUAACUCAGGAACUGCCUUUGAUACUGGCAGGCUGGAAUACGGAUGCCGUGGGAGGAAUGAGUAGUGUAGCGGUGAAAUGCAUAGAUAUUACUCAGAACACCGAUUGCGAAGGCAUCUGACGAAUCCGUCACUGACGCUGAGGCACGAAAGCGUGGGGAUAGAACAGGAUUAGAUACCCUGGUAUUCCACGCCGUAAACGAUGAUGACUAACCGUCGGCGAUAGACAGCCGGUGGCCAAGCGAAAGCGAUAAGUCAUCCACCUGGGGAGUACGUCGGCAACGAUGAAACUCAAAUGAAUUGGCGGGG